CAAUAGCGUAUAUUUAAGUUGUUGCAGUUAAAAAGCUCGGAGUUGGAUUUCGGAUGGGAUUUGCCGGUCCGUCGUUACGAUGUGCACUGGCCAGUCCUAUCUUGUUGUCGGGGACUAGCUCCUUGGAUUCACUUCCUGGGACUAGGAGCUGACGAGGUUACUUUGAGUAAAUUAGAGUGUUCAAAGCAAGCCUACGCUCUGAAUACAUUAGCAUGGAAUAACACGAUAGGACUCUGGCUUAUCUUGUUGGUCUGUGAGACCAGAGUAAUGAUUAAGAGGGACAGUCGGGGACAUUCGUAUUUCAUUGUCAGAGGUGAAAUUCUUGGAUUUAUGAAAGACGAACUUCUGCGAAAGCAUUUGUCAAGGAUGUUUUCAUUAA
Molecule: ribosomal RNA, 379 nt
Filed under: uncultured eukaryote
Lineage: Eukaryota
Description: partial 18S ribosomal RNA
Rfam family: Eukaryotic small subunit ribosomal RNA
Source: RNAcentral